UUUCCGUAGGUGAACCUGCGGAAGGAUCAUUACUGAACUGUCGACACGAGUUGUUGCUGGUCCUCAAACGGGGGCAUGUGCACGCUCUGUUUACACAUCCACUCACACCUGUGCACCCUUAUGUAGUUCUAUGGUUUGGGGGACUCUGUCCUCCUGCCAUGGUUCUAUAUCUUUACACACACUCUGUAAUAAAGUCUUAUGGAGUGUAUACCGCGUUUAACGCAAUACAAUACAACUUUCAGCAACGGAUCUCUUGGCUCUC
RNAcentral lists this unclassified non-coding RNA (262 nucleotides) under plant metagenome. Its description in RNAcentral is "partial contains small subunit ribosomal RNA, internal transcribed spacer 1, and 5.8S ribosomal RNA". The record is from RNAcentral.